Molecule: long non-coding RNA, 231 nt
Organism: Cyprinodon variegatus (sheepshead minnow)
Lineage: Eukaryota; Metazoa; Chordata; Actinopteri; Cyprinodontiformes; Cyprinodontidae
Exons: 3
Source: RefSeq, a predicted model, not a curated record
UCUUAUUCCACUAAAGGUUGUAGGACCGAGAGGACCGGCUGGCCCAAUGGGCCCACCUGGAGAGCAGGGACCACGCGGAUCAAGAGGAGAAAAAGGAGAAAAGGGAAGUCCUGGUCCUCGUGGCAGAGAUGGUGAACCUGGCAUCCCUGGAAAUCCAGGACCCCCAGGACCUCCAGGACCCAAUGGACCCCCUGGCCUUGGCGGAGUAAGUUAUUACAGUUUUGGUUGGAU